RNAcentral lists this ribosomal RNA (297 nucleotides) under uncultured bacterium. RNAcentral's name for it is "partial 16S ribosomal RNA". It matches the Rfam family "Bacterial small subunit ribosomal RNA", at positions 32 to 308 of the family's 1533-position model. The record is from RNAcentral.
AAUCAACGCUGGCGGCGUGCCUCAGACAUGCAAGUCGAACGCGAAAGUCCCCUUCGGGGGACAAGUAGAGUGGCGCACGGGUGAGUAACACGUAGGUAAUCUACCUUCGGGUGGGGAAUAACAACCGGAAACGGUUGCUAAUACCGCAUAAUGCAGCGGCACCUAAUGGUGACAGUUGUUAAAGCGGGGGAUCGAAAGACCUCGCGUCUGAAGAGGAGCCUGCGGCGGAUUAGCUAGUUGGAAGGUAAUGGCUUACCAAGGCGACGAUCCGUAGCCGGCCCGAGAGGGCGGGUCGGG